Molecule: ribosomal RNA, 253 nt
Filed under: uncultured bacterium
Lineage: Bacteria
Description: partial 16S ribosomal RNA
Rfam family: Bacterial small subunit ribosomal RNA
Source: RNAcentral
UACAGAGGGUGCGAGCGUUGUUCGGAAUUAUUGGGCGUAAAGGGCGCGUAGGCGGCGCGGUAAGUCACCUGUGAAAUCUCCUGGCUCAACUGGGAGCUUGCAGGCGAAACUGCCGUGCUGGAGUGUGGGAGAGGUGCGUGGAAUUCCUGGUGUAGCGGUGAAAUGCGUAGAUAUCGGGAGGAACACCAGUGGCGAAGGCGGCGAUCUGGGAAGAUACUGACGCUGAGGUGCGAAAGCGUGGGGAGCAAACAGG